GAUGAACGCUGGCGGCGUGCCUAAUACAUGCAAGUCGAGCGAACAGAUAAGGAGCUUGCUCCUUUGACGUUAGCGGCGGACGGGUGAGUAACACGUGGGUAACCUACCUAUAAGACUGGCAUAACUCCGGGAAACCGGGGCUAAUGCCGGAUCACAUUUAGAACCGCAUGGUUCUAAAGUGAAAGCUGGUUUUGCUAUCACUUAUAGAUGGACCCGCGCCGUAUUAGCUAGUUGGUAAGGUAACGGCUUACCAAGGCAACGAUACGUAGCCGACCUGAGAGGGUGAUCGGCCACACUGGAACUGAGACACGGCCCAGACUCCUACGGGAGGCAGCAGUAGGGAAUCUUCCGCAAUGGGCGAAAGCCUGACGGAGCAACGCCGCGUGAGUGAUGAAGGUCUUCGGAUCGUAAAACUCUGUUAUUAGGGAAGAACAAAUGUGUAAGUAACUGUGCACGUCUUGACGUUACCUAAUCAGAAAGCCACGGCUAACUACGUG
Molecule: ribosomal RNA, 497 nt
Filed under: uncultured bacterium
Lineage: Bacteria
Description: partial 16S ribosomal RNA
Rfam family: Bacterial small subunit ribosomal RNA
Source: RNAcentral